CGGUUAAGAGGGCUGCCAUUCGCGGUCCGCGGAGGUUUACUCCUCCCUUAUCCG
Molecule: non-coding RNA, 54 nt
Filed under: unclassified sequences
Description: DUF3800-VI RNA
Rfam family: DUF3800-VI RNA
About the family: Actinobacteria, Planctomycetes, Proteobacteria, Spirochaetes. Nearby to DUF3800
Source: RNAcentral